UAAUACGUAGGGACCAAGCGUUGUCCGGAAUCAUUGGGCGUAAAGAGCGUGUAGGCGGCUUGUUAAGUCUUGUGUGAAAUCUCGGGGCUCAACCCCGAGCGGUCAUGUGAAACUGGCAGGCUAGAGUGCGGGAGAGGAGAGUGGAAUUCCUGGUGUAGCGGUGAAAUGCGCAGAUAUCAGGAAGAACACCAGUGGCGAAGGCGGCUAUCUGGAACGCAACUGACGCU
RNAcentral lists this ribosomal RNA (227 nucleotides) under uncultured bacterium. Its description in RNAcentral is "partial 16S ribosomal RNA". It matches the Rfam family "Bacterial small subunit ribosomal RNA", at positions 521 to 747 of the family's 1533-position model. The record is from RNAcentral.